CGUGUAGGCGGCUGGAUAAGCCGCGUGUGAAAUCCCGGGGCUCAACCCCGGAACGGCACGCGGGACUGCUCGGCUAGAGAAUGGUAGAGGCAAGUGGAAUUCCUGGUGUAGCGGUGGAAUGCGUAGAGAUCAGGAAGAACACCGGUGGCGAAGGCGGCUUGCUGGGCCAUUUCUGACGCUGAGGCGCGAAAGCGUGGGAGCAAACA
This 206-nucleotide ribosomal RNA is filed under the name uncultured bacterium. RNAcentral describes it as "partial 16S ribosomal RNA". It matches the Rfam family "Bacterial small subunit ribosomal RNA", at positions 568 to 774 of the family's 1533-position model. The record is from RNAcentral.